CCCUUAGAUGUUCUGGGCCGCACGCGCGCUACAAUGAUGAAUUCAACGAGUUUAUAACCUUGGUUGAAAAGCCUGGGUAAUCUUUUGAACUUUCGUCGUGAUGGGGCUAGACCCUUGCAAUUAUUGGUCUCCAACGAGGAAUUCCUAGUAAACGCAAGUAAUCAGCUUGCAUUGAUUACGUCCCUGCCCUUUGUACACACCGCCCGUCGCACCUACCGAUUGAAUGGUCCGGUGAAAUCUUCGGAUUGAGACUUUGAUUUCUUCACGGAAAACGCUGUUUUAAAAAGUUGAUUAAACCUUACCAUUUAGAGGAAGGUGAAGUCGUAACA
Molecule: ribosomal RNA, 329 nt
Filed under: uncultured eukaryote
Lineage: Eukaryota
Description: partial 18S ribosomal RNA
Rfam family: Eukaryotic small subunit ribosomal RNA
Source: RNAcentral